UACAGAGGGUGCGAGCGUUAAUCGGAAUUACUGGGCGUAAAGCGUGCGUAGACGGCUAUCUAAGUCGGGUGUGAAAGCCCCCGGCUCAACUGGGGAGGGUCACGCGAUACUGCUCGACUCGAAGGCAGGAGAGGGAAGUGGAAUUCCCGGUGUAGUGGUGAAAUGCGUAGAUAUCGGGAGGAACACCAGUGGCGAAGGCGACUUCCUGGCCUGUUCUUGACGCUGAGGCGCGAAAGCUAGGGUAGCAAACGGG
RNAcentral lists this ribosomal RNA (253 nucleotides) under uncultured bacterium. RNAcentral describes it as "partial 16S ribosomal RNA". It matches the Rfam family "Bacterial small subunit ribosomal RNA", at positions 524 to 776 of the family's 1533-position model. The record is from RNAcentral.